GCCCCCUUAGCUCAGCUGGAUAGAGCGCGGGCUUCCUAAGCCCGGCGUCACAGGUUCGAGUCCUGUAGGGGGUACCA
RNAcentral lists this transfer RNA (77 nucleotides) under Gemmatimonadota bacterium. RNAcentral describes it as "Gemmatimonadetes bacterium (marine metagenome) tRNA-Arg". It matches the Rfam family "tRNA". Rfam says of the family: Transfer RNA (tRNA) molecules are approximately 80 nucleotides in length. Lineage: Bacteria; Pseudomonadati; Gemmatimonadota. The record is from RNAcentral.